UCUCCGUAGGUGAACCUGCGGAGGGAUCAUUACUGAGUGAGGGCCUUCGGGCUCGACCUCCAACCCUUUGUGAACACAACUUGUUGCUUCGGGGGCGACCCUGCCGUUUCGACGGCGAGCGCCCCCGGAGGCCUUCAAACACUGCAUCUUUGCGUCGGAGCAUUGAAAGCAAAUCAAUCAAAACUUUGAACAACGGAUCUCUUGGUUCUGGCAUCGAUGAAGAACGCAGC
RNAcentral lists this unclassified non-coding RNA (230 nucleotides) under uncultured fungus. Its description in RNAcentral is "sequence contains ITS1, 5.8S rRNA gene". The stretch from base 182 to 230 matches the Rfam family "5.8S ribosomal RNA", at positions 1 to 49 of the family's 154-position model. The record is from RNAcentral. Lineage: Eukaryota; Fungi.